GGCCAACUCCAUAAAAAAUUUAAGGACUUCCCUGGUGGCUCAGUGGUGAAGAAUCUGCUUGCAAUGCAGGAGACCACCUGCAAUGCAGAAGAUGCGGUUCAAUCCCUGGGUCAGGAAGAUCCCCUGGAGAAGGAAAUGGCAGCCCACUACAGUAUUCUUGCCUGGGAAAUCUCAUGGACAGAGGAGCCUGGCGGGCCACCGUCCAUUGAGUUACAAAGAGUAGACACGACUGAGCGACUGUCACUUUCAUGAUGACCAUAGUGUGGGACUUAUUCAUCCUACUCUGAAUUGCUUAACAUCACAUACUCUGUGAGUUCAUCUUGACUAUUAGCCUCCAGACUCAUCCUUCGGUCCAGCCAGCCAGCUUUUUGUCUUGCCUGUGUGACCUGCUGCCCCAGCUCCAGCUCCAGCUCCUGAAUAUCUGAUUUCAAAGGGUUAUAGAAAACAGAAUUGACAAAUCAGCUGGGUGGAGUAGCAUGACCUAGAUGAAGAAAAACUGGCCUGGGGUCUGCCUGACCCCUUUCCAGGACAUCUCCCUUUCAGUGACAGCAGGCUCCCUGAUAAAGACAAGCCCUCCUGAACCUGAGUAGAUAAGGAGAGUUAACUGCUUCUGGUCUUAAGUUGUGGUAGAAGUUCUUGCUGUCCUUGCUGGUUACUUGGCUUUCCAGCAAGUUGGAGCUAUGACCCAACCAUGCAAAAUGAACAAACCCUUCAAGCAAUGUGGAUGCAGAGACAUUGGGAAACAGAGUAAAUUAUGCAUUAUGAGCAUAUGAACUGUAUAUGGGAAAUAGAGGUUGAGCGGUCCAGUGUAGACAGAAAUCUGAAUAAAUCUGCUGUAGUGAUUUUAGUAAUUUAUGGCAUGGUAUUGAGUUGUCCAAAAACUUUGUUCAGGUAUUUCUAUACGAUAGUACCAAAAACCCCAGAACGAAUGAACUUUUGGGCAACCAAUACAAAUCUAUAUCUAAGUAUUUAUUUUGUCCAGGUAGUCUGAGCUAUUAAUAUUUCAGAAUUAUCAAAGAGAGUUCUUACAACCCAGAUGGUUUGCUGUUUCAACUCUUACUUGAUUUGUAUUUCUUUCUGGAAGCUAGAUAAAAUGGAAAAUGAAUUUUGAGGAGAUUAGAUUAGUGAAAACCUGGAAAUGUAGUUUCUGUUUAGUUGCCAAAGGAGUGCCCAGUGAGAUACCCUGAAAGUCUGAGGUUCAGUUUAAAUGAUCAUUUGUGCUUUUUCUUUUUUUUUAAUGCUUCUAUUAAAAAUAUUUCAAUAGACCCAUUUGGCCUCGAUGAUUUUUAAAUGUAAUGUAAUGAAAAUAUCAAUUUCUCAAGUAAUUGAUAAUGAAUGAGAAACAUGUAGAGAAUGCUUAUUGACAUUUAUUAUCCACGAGGGGCGCUGUGGUGAUGUCAGUAACCACAUGAAAACCCAAGACACAAAUCUGCU
Molecule: long non-coding RNA, 1434 nt
Organism: Bubalus bubalis (water buffalo)
Lineage: Eukaryota; Metazoa; Chordata; Mammalia; Artiodactyla; Bovidae
Exons: 4
Source: RefSeq, a predicted model, not a curated record